This 204-nucleotide ribosomal RNA is filed under the name uncultured bacterium. RNAcentral describes it as "partial 16S ribosomal RNA". It matches the Rfam family "Bacterial small subunit ribosomal RNA", at positions 524 to 727 of the family's 1533-position model. The record is from RNAcentral.
UACGUAGGGGGCAAGCGUUGUCCGGAAUCAUUGGGCGUAAAGAGCGUGUAGGCGGGCUUCUAAGUCAGAUGUGAAAUCCCAUGGCUCAACCAUGGAAUUGCAUUUGAAACUGGAGGUCUUGAGUGUGGGAGAGAUUGGUAGAAUACCUAGUGUAGUGGUGAAAUACGUAGAUAAUUAGGUGGAAUACCGGAGGCGAAGGCGCAA